Non-coding RNA from Macaca mulatta (Rhesus monkey), 897 nucleotides. The record is from RefSeq and is a predicted model, not a curated record. NCBI's taxonomy places the organism in Eukaryota, Metazoa, Chordata, Mammalia, Primates, Cercopithecidae.
AGGACCCACAGAGAAAUGACAGACCCUUCCUGCUGCAUUUAAUCGGAAAGGAGCACAGAGACCUGAGAUUAUAAUGAUGACGUCUUAAAUGUCAAGUGCUUCAAAAGUCUGCUGUUGCACUCACUGUUACCCUGAACAGCUCUGGGAACCAAAACCCUGCAGCCACCUAAAGCAUGCCCUGAGUCUCUCAGCCAGGUUUCACCUGGGAAAUCUGAGUGACAGUGACGUGCAGGCAGCUGGAAGACGCACAGUAAACCGAGGAGCCUGUGAUGAGCUCAGAGGAGGUUGGUUAGUGGAGACAGAAGAACAGUAAGUGUUGGGAGCCGUUACCAGUGGAGGAGCCACCCAUGAGCACGGAAGCCAGAGCAUAUCUGGACCAUCAUGUAAGUUCAGAGGAAGACACGAUUCAGUUGACAAAAAUUUGUGUACCCUCCUCAGAAGUGCAUUGUUGUGCAAGAAAUGGUUUGGCAGUGACUCUCCCCUUUCAGCUGCAAGUCAUCAAGGGCUGAAUGCCUCUCCAGUUGCCAGGGGAGGAGUGGCUUGUAGAGCGGAUGUUCCCAGUCUGGCAGAAUCUUCUAUCAAGUGUUCCCUGAGUUGGGCUGCCAGGGGGCAGGUGUUGAACAGUGAUGAAGUCCUCUCACCUGAGCAGCUUCUAAUGCAAGAGGGGUGUCGUGGGUGCCUGAAACCCUAUGUCUGUGGGUGGAGCGUAAACUUAGCCUCUUCCCUGAGGUUAGGCAGCAUGUCAUAACCACCUCCGGCUGCCCAUGGCUGGUUUGGGGCAAUAUGCCAAGAUGUAGUUUUGCCUAUUUGGUUUGCUUUUUCCUCUAAAAUAUACAAAAGUUAAUAACAUGUACUGGGUUUUUAAAAAAUUAUAAAAUAUAAGAUAUGGUCAGAAAA